RNAcentral lists this ribosomal RNA (465 nucleotides) under Vreelandella stevensii. Its description in RNAcentral is "partial 16S ribosomal RNA". It matches the Rfam family "Bacterial small subunit ribosomal RNA", at positions 338 to 795 of the family's 1533-position model. Lineage: Bacteria; Pseudomonadati; Pseudomonadota; Gammaproteobacteria; Oceanospirillales; Halomonadaceae. The record is from RNAcentral.
CCUACGGGAGGCUGCAGUGGGGAAUAUUGGACAAUGGGGGGAACCCUGAUCCAGCCAUGCCGCGUGUGUGAAGAAGGCCCUCGGGUUGUAAAGCACUUUCAGUGAGGAAGAACGCCUGGUGGUUAAUACCCAUCAGGAAAGACAUCACUCACAGAAGAAGCACCGGCUAACUCCGUGCCAGCAGCCGCGGUAAUACGGCGGGUGCGAGCGUUAAUCGGAAUUACUGGGCGUAAAGCGCGCGUAGGUGGCUUGAUAAGCCGGUUGUGAAAGCCCCGGGCUCAACCUGGGAACGGCAUCCGGAACUGUCAAGCUAGAGUGCAGGAGAGGAAGGUAGAAUUCCCGGUGUAGCGGUGAAAUGCGUAGAGAUCGGGAGGAAUACCAGUGGCGAAGGCGGCCUUCUGGACUGACACUGACACUGAGGUGCGAAAGCGUGGGUAGCAAACAGGAUUAGAUACCCCUGUAGUC